GACGAACGCUGGCGGCGUGCCUAAUACAUGCAAGUUGAGCGCUGAAGGUUGGUACUUGUACCGACUGGAUGAGCAGCGAACGGGUGAGUAACGCGUGGGGAAUCUGCCUUUGAGCGGGGGACAACAUUUGGAAACGAAUGCUAAUACCGCAUAAAAACUUUAAACACAAGUUUUAAGUUUGAAAGAUGCAAUUGCAUCACUCAAAGAUGAUCCCGCGUUGUAUUAGCUAGUUGGUGAGGUAAAGGCUCACCAAGGCGAUGAUACAUAGCCGACCUGGGAGGGUGAUCGGCCAACUUGGGACUGAGACACGGCCCAAACUCCUACGGGAGGCAGCAGUAGGGAAUCUUCGGCAAUGGACGAAAGUCUGACCGAGCAACGCCGCGUGAGUGAAGAAGGUUUUCGGAUCGUAAAACUCUGUUGGUAGAGAAGAACGUUGGUGAGAGUGGAAAGCUCAUCAAGUGACGGUAACUACCCAGAAAGGGACGGCUAACUACGUGCCAGCCGCCGCCGUAA
RNAcentral lists this ribosomal RNA (513 nucleotides) under uncultured bacterium. RNAcentral describes it as "partial 16S ribosomal RNA". It matches the Rfam family "Bacterial small subunit ribosomal RNA", at positions 28 to 523 of the family's 1533-position model. The record is from RNAcentral.